Molecule: ribosomal RNA, 406 nt
Filed under: uncultured bacterium
Lineage: Bacteria
Description: partial 16S ribosomal RNA
Rfam family: Bacterial small subunit ribosomal RNA
Source: RNAcentral
AUUGAACGCUGGCUGCAGGCUUAACACAUGCAAGUCGAGCGAGCGGCGGACGGGUGAGUAAUGUCUGGGAAACUGCCUGAUGGAGGGGGAUCACUACUGGAAACGGUAGCUAAUACCGCAUACCAUCAGAUGUGCCCAGAUGGGAUUAGCUAGUAGGUGGGGUCAUGGCUCACCUAGGCGACGAUCCCUAGCUGGUCUGAGAGGAUGACCACCCCCACUGGAACUGAGACACGGUCCAGACUCCUAAGGGAGGCAGCAGUGGGGAAUAUUGCACAAUGGGCGCAAGCCUGAUGCAGCCAUGCCGCGUGGAUGAAGAAGGCCUUCGGGUUGUAAAGCACUUUCAGCGAGGAGGCGUUACUCGCAGAAGAAGCACCGGCUAACUCCGUGCCAGCAGCCGCGGUAAUUC